Long non-coding RNA from Vespula pensylvanica (western yellowjacket), 536 nucleotides. RefSeq lists it as uncharacterized. The transcript is spliced from 3 exons. The record is from RefSeq and is a predicted model, not a curated record. Lineage: Eukaryota; Metazoa; Arthropoda; Insecta; Hymenoptera; Vespidae.
GAGAGGCAAGGUUCCUCGUCUCAUUGAAGAACGAGUAGCGAAAUGUGAACGUAUCGUCUAAAAAUAUUGUCGGGGAGGUCCGAGGUGCGCCUAGCAACAGAGAUUGCAUAGAAGCAUGUAACUAUAGUGAACCCCUAAGUUCGAGUAUGAAAAACGAGCGUCUUCUUUUCAACGAGACAAGCCGGAUACGCUAAUUACAAGAUGAUAUGAGAACGAUCGAUAAUGAUAUCUUACUGAAAUCGGUGAAGAAUUUUCUGUAAUAAGGAAAGACGACGGAGGAAUGAGAAACCGUGCAGAAUGUAAAAGGAAGGUAAUGCGUGUAAAAAGUUCAGUAACCAAAAAAAAAAAAAAAAAUGCAAAAUAAAUGGAACGAAAAAUUGGACGACGAAACAAAAAGAAAAAUAAAAGGAAAUAAAUUCAUAAGAAUAUAUCAUAUUGGAUUAACCUGAGAGAAAAACAAGGAUCUAACUGUUUCUUCUUUUUCCGUGGAACUUCAUCGAUCUCAGCAACGAUUUACUUCCAACGAGUUUCCUUCU